CUAAAUCAUUGUUUUUAUAGUAACUAAGUUAAAACUUCCUGCUCUCUCUGCAGAAACAUCAUCUGCACUGAUGGACAACUUGGGUGCAAGUGGGACACAAACACAAAACAGGAAUUGUGAUGAAGGGAUGGAGCAAGAUGACAUGGAGGACACUUCUUCAGAAAAUUCAACAGGUUCUCUGGCAGACCGUUCCACAAACCGGGGCCAUAAYACUGGACAGAAGCCUCACCAUAAGUGUGAGUUCUGACUCUGGGAACUGGUAAUAGUCCGGUKCCAGAGAACCUCAGGSUCCRCAGGGGUUCAUAAGAUAAAAACAGCUCUACAAGAUAAGAYGGYRCAAGACCAUUGAGACAUUUGAAACMAGUAAAAGAAUCUUAAAAUCAAUCCUGAGACGUACUGGGAGCCAAAGCAAUGAUUUUAAAACAGGAGUGAAGUGAGCCGCCUUCUGGUCUUGGUUUGGACUCCAGCAGCAGAGUUUUGUAAUAGCUGAAGGCUGUGUACAUUAGCAAAAAGCACCAAGAAAAUACUGCACACAAUGAAGACUUUAA
Molecule: non-coding RNA, 548 nt
Organism: Poecilia reticulata (guppy)
Lineage: Eukaryota; Metazoa; Chordata; Actinopteri; Cyprinodontiformes; Poeciliidae
Source: RefSeq, a predicted model, not a curated record